AUUGAACGCUGGCGGCAUGCUUUACACAUGCAAGUCGAGCGGUAACAGGCCGCAAGGUGCUGACGAGUGGCGAACGGGUGAGUAAUGCAUCGGAACGUGCCCAGUCGUGGGGGAUAACGCAGCGAAAGCUGUGCUAAUACCGCGUACGAUCUAUGGAUGAAAGCGGGGGACCGUACGGCCUCGCGCGAUUGGAGCGGCCGAUGUCAGAUUAGGUAGUUGGUGGGGUUAAGGCUCACCAAGCCAACGAUCUGUAGCUGGUCUGAGAGGACGACCAGCCACACUGGGACUGAGACACGGCACAGACUCCUACGGGAGGCAGCAGUGGGGAAUUUUGGACAAUGGGCGCAAGCCUGAUCCAGCAAUGCCGUGUGCAGGAAGAAGGCCUUCGGGUUGUAAACUGCUUUUGUACGGAACGAAAAGGUUUGGGUUAAUACCCUGGGCCGAUGACGGUACCGUAAGAAUAAGCACCGGCUAACUACGUGCCAGCCGCCGCGGUAA
RNAcentral lists this ribosomal RNA (498 nucleotides) under uncultured bacterium. Its description in RNAcentral is "partial 16S ribosomal RNA". It matches the Rfam family "Bacterial small subunit ribosomal RNA", at positions 30 to 523 of the family's 1533-position model. The record is from RNAcentral.